Long non-coding RNA from Pelmatolapia mariae (spotted tilapia), 481 nucleotides. RefSeq lists it as uncharacterized. The transcript has 3 exons. NCBI's taxonomy places the organism in Eukaryota, Metazoa, Chordata, Actinopteri, Cichliformes, Cichlidae. The record is from RefSeq and is a predicted model, not a curated record.
UUAUAGGCCAUUACUUUUGUAUCGUUUAUUGCAUUUAUGGAGGGAGAGGUGUAUGCUGGGUAAUGGCACAGCUAGCGACCGGGUGACUUUAUUCACCCGCUUCGGCUGUUAUCAGUCCAUACAAUGGGCGUUAUUAGCAGAAAUCAGUCCCAUAGAUGUGGGCCAUCCACCUGCUAGAUUGUUCAGAAGGUUGUUAUCAUCCAUCCAGAUGGAGGAUCACUGACAGGAGCGUGGGAAGACUCCAGAAUCCACUCUGGCUGGAAUCCGGUGGAUACAGCAGUGUUACAGGUACAGUACGUGAUAUUAAGGGUGAUAUUAUCACUGGGGGAAGACAAGAAGCAGACGUACUUCCAAGAGGGAGCUGCAGUGAGGACACAGCCUGGUCACUGAGGUCAGAGGAGGCGCUGAAAGGUUUCCCUAAUAGUUCCUGGUGAAUCAAAGCAGAACCAUAAAGGUUGCUGGACUGCAUGAUGGCCUUACA